RNAcentral lists this ribosomal RNA (600 nucleotides) under Symmetrospora foliicola. RNAcentral describes it as "eukaryotic LSU rRNA". The stretch from base 171 to 324 matches the Rfam family "5.8S ribosomal RNA". Lineage: Eukaryota; Fungi; Basidiomycota; Cystobasidiomycetes; Symmetrosporaceae. The record is from RNAcentral.
UCCGUAGGUGAACCUGCGGAAGGAUCAUUAAUGAAAUGUAGGACGCUCUUUUUAGAGGUCCGACCAAAUCAUUUUCCUUUACUCUGUGCACACACUACUUUUUACACCAUUUUUUAUACUCAUCAGUUUAAGAAUGUAAAACAAGUCUCGAAAGAGCAAUAAAAUAAUAAAACUUUCGGCAACGGAUCUCUUGGCUCUCGCAUCGAUGAAGAACGCAGCGAAAUGCGAUACGUAAUGUGAAUUGCAGAAUUCAGUGAAUCAUCGAAUCUUUGAACGCACCUUGCACUCUUUGGUAUUCCGAAGAGUAUGUCUGUUUGAGUGUCAUGAAACUCUCAACCCCCUCAUUUUGUAAUGAAGUGAGCUGUGGGCUUGGUUUAUGGCUGCUGCUGGCUUAACUGCCGGCUCAGCUGAAAUACACGAGCAACCCAGUUUGAAUACUUGACGGUUUGACUCGGCGUAAUAAUUAUUAUCGCUGAGGACGUCUAACUUUCAAAUCGUUAGUGGUGCUUCUAAUGCUUCAUCUAGAACUUUUAAGCUUUAGACCUCAAAUCAGUCAGGAUUACCCGCUGAACUUAAGCAUAUCAAUAAGCGGAGGAAAAG